GUGAGAAAGAUUUCACGUAACUUAAAGCCUUUAGACCAGAUGAGCUAAAAGUAAUAGGCUCAUGCUAAAUAUGUAGAUGUAAGAUUGAACAAUCCCUGAUAUGAUCCUGUCGACCGCACGCACAUCUUAAGUAUAUAUAAGACCAACUUCUAGAUUUCUGGUCAGUGUGUUUUCUUCUUGAAAUACAUAACUAUGAAGAUCGGCUGUCUUCUUUUUGUUUGCAUCGUUGCCGGCAGUCAGGCUCGUUCCGUUGGUAAAACUAGAAGUAAAAGUAGUUUCCUAGAGGAUAUGAGGUAAAGGUCAAUGUUGAAUACGAUUAUUGAUGGAUGUCCUUGGUGCGGCGUUCCUAAACAACAUGUACCGUCCAACCCCAAUUCCUUAAUGCAACCUGCACUAUCCUCAGACCUUGAUUCCGCAUUGCAGAACAUUCUAAAUGAAUUCCCGAACCUCCAGAAGCCUUAGGUGGUAACUGGCAAUCCAAAGAAUAUACUAACCUAAAUAAGCCUAUAUCUGAUAUCUUUUCAUUAAAAAGUAUAUAAAUCAAAACGUGUUAUAUUAUCGACAGAAAUCACCUGUCCGUUUUGUUGGAUUAUCGCUAUUAAAGUUGGUAUGGUACACCUGUAGAUAUUGACGAUGAUAAAAGUACAUUAUAAUCAAAAUACGUUUGUUGUAAUUAACAAACCUUAGCAUACCUGGAAUCUUUUUAAAAGAGGAAAGACAUUGAAUUUUAUGACCCAGAAUUUUUUUUAUCGUUAGCAUCACUUAUUCUUAUAUGCUAAAAUUACAUUAUCUAGAAGACAAUCUUGAUAUUUUCAUACAGGUGAAUCACGAUACCUCAAACUUCAGGAUUACACUUCGAGAGAUCAAAAGUUUGAGAGAUUAAAAGUUAUAAAAAAAAAAUCCGGAAAUCAUCACAUGUUCUGGUCGAAGCUAAUUGUACGCUUGAUCGGUCGCAUGUGUACACAACCUCAACUGUGAGUUAUCAAGAGUGAAGGGCAAUGAAGUAUAUAAACCCAUGUCGGAUUUCAAGAUAUCGAAGUUUAAGAGAUGAAGAGUAAAUCUGCUUGAUUAUAUAGAGGAAAAAGUCGGAACUGCGGUUUAACUUCGUUAGAUCAAGAACUUCGAGAGAACGAAGUUCGAACCAUCGAGUGCCACCUGUAAAUGUAUGUUCAAGCAGUCAAUUGUUGCCGUUGACUCAAUUGAGCAUUGUGUGUGUUAAC
Magallana angulata is the source of this 1220-nucleotide long non-coding RNA. RefSeq lists it as uncharacterized. The record is from RefSeq and is a predicted model, not a curated record. The transcript has 4 exons. NCBI's taxonomy places the organism in Eukaryota, Metazoa, Mollusca, Bivalvia, Ostreida, Ostreidae.